CACGUAGGAGGCGAGCGUUGUCCGGAAUCAUUGGGCGUAAAGAGCGCGCAGGCGGCUUGGCAAGUCGGGUGUGAAAUCCCGGGGCUCAACCCCGUGACUGCAUCCGAUACUGUCAGGCUAGAGGUAGGUAGGGGAGAUCGGAAUUCCUGGUGUAGCGGUGAAAUGCGCAGAUAUCAGGAGGAACACCGGUGGCGAAGGCGGAUCUCUGGGCCAUUACUGACGCUGAGGAGCGAAAGCGUGGGGAGCGAACAGG
RNAcentral lists this ribosomal RNA (253 nucleotides) under uncultured bacterium. RNAcentral describes it as "partial 16S ribosomal RNA". It matches the Rfam family "Bacterial small subunit ribosomal RNA", at positions 524 to 776 of the family's 1533-position model. The record is from RNAcentral.